This 3423-nucleotide long non-coding RNA is filed under the name Nicotiana tabacum (common tobacco). Its description in RNAcentral is "long non-coding RNA (NTAB_LNC003919)". The record is from RNAcentral. Lineage: Eukaryota; Viridiplantae; Streptophyta; Magnoliopsida; Solanales; Solanaceae.
UUUCACCUACUAAAAACACUACAAUCAGCACCUUAGCAAGAAAGCUCCAACAUCACAUAUGAACGUUCUUGUUUGAAAGCUUUCAACAUUCUUGCUUGAAUGCUCACAAAAUGUCAAGAAUUCCAUAACAACAUCAAAAAGCUCCAGCGUCAAAUAUGAACAUAUAUACAAAACGUUAGAAAUUCCAACAAGCUUCAACGACCAAAUCAAUUCCAGCAAGUAUUUUUAGCACCUUAGCAACGUAAAAUUUUGCGGUUCUAAAGGAGUAGGGUGCAACCUUUUCCAAGAAUAUCAUAUGGGUUUUUCCCUACUCCAGGUAUGCUAAAGUCCUCCCUUCUUUCUUUUGGAAUGAUUCAAAUUAUACUGAAGAAACGAGCAAACAUACAGUUUUCAUAAAUUACUCUAUUCAUAGAAUUAUUAGGGGUGUCUAUAUUAUUAAUUCCCUAUGAAAAUUAUUAUUAUUUUUUGUUCAUCGGUCUCAAAAUAAUACGCAGUUGGAAAAGUUUAUCUGGAAGGAAUAUUGAGAUUAUUACGUAUUUUUCAUACAUUUCACUCAUGUGCAUUGACCCAUGACCAAAUGGCAUUAUAUACGUGUAUAUAUAUAAAUAUAUGUAUAUGGGAUAUGAAAAAAGGCUACGGUGUAAUAUAAGCACCACCAGCUGAUCAGCUGGUAUAUGAUAAUGAUGUUUCUCACAGUGGCUGGAAUAUGAUUCAAAUGAUGUUAUAUACGCGUAUAUAUGUAAAUAUAUGUAUAUGGGAUAUAUGAAAAGGUUAUGCCGUUAUAUACGCACCACCACCUGAUCAGUUGGUAUAUGAUAAUGGUGUUGCCCAUAGUGGCUGAAAUAUGAUUCAAAUGACGUUAUAUACGCGCAUAUAUGUAUGUAUAUAUAUGUAUAUGAUAUAUGGGAAAGGUUNNNNNNNNNNNNNNNNNNNNNNNNNCAUGUACCUAUGGACGACAUGACAUUCAUACGCAUAUCCAUGACGCUAAAAGUAAUUUAUAAUUUACAAAGUUAUUAAGACUUACAGGUUGAGUCAUGUACUCUAUAUUUCUUCCAUGUCUCUUAUGUACUUAUUUAUGUGCCUUACAUAAUCAGUACAUUAUUCAUAUUGAUGUCCCUUUUGCCUGGGGACGCUGCGUUUCAUGCCCGCAGGUCCCGAUAGACAGGUCGAGAGCCCUCCAAGUAGGCUAUCAGCUCAGCGGAAGAUGUUGGUAUGCUCCAUUUUCUUCAGAGUUGCUUGUUUGGUUAGUAUGAUUUAGACAUGUAUUGUUUGGUAUGGUGGGACUUUGUCCCGACCUUUAUGAAAUUUAUGUACUCUUAGAGGCUUGUAAACAUAUGUUGUGUAUGUGAAAGAUUGUACGGCCUUGUCGUCCUAUGUUUUGAGUUUAUAAAUGAUUAUGUUGGCCUAUUAGGAUCAUUUGUCACGUGUAUAUGAUGAUGUAUUAAGAAAAGUAAGUUACGUUGGUGCUUGGUCGAGUAAGGCACCGGGUGCCCGUCGCGGCCCAUCGGUUUGGGUCGUGACAAGGGUGAAGGGCAUUCUCUCUAUCAUGCUCGAGUAAUGCCUGAUCAUAUAAUCCACGAACCAGAACGAAGGAUGAACUUGACAUAGGGUUACCUGAUAACUCCGACAGAAGUCGAGAAUCACAGGGUCGAUCGGAGGUGAGGAUGGCCCCACCAGACCUAAUGUGAAUAGGUAGGUAUACACACUCAUAAAGCCGGCUCUACGAGCCGUAAUAUCUUCCUCCCAAGUGGGAGUCUCCACUAGCACGGUAUCCCCUCAGCAACAGUCGACCCUCACUCUUUCGAUGUCCAUUAUAGAGCUGAUAUACCGAGUUACAGGCUCGCGGUGCCCUGACUUUGAGGAAGGUCUCUCGACCCUAAAAUCGUAAGUCAUCACAAAGUAUCCCGGGACACACUCCUCGACACGGGGGGAAGUAGCCACUUCAACUUGAGAGAAAAACGAAGAAGAUGAGCCCGCAACCUCCUGGGAAGCAGAAGUGGAAAUUUUUUCCAUCCUUGAGAGAAUAUGAGGAAGAAGAAAAAGGGGUUGCGUUCCUAAAAAAGAGCGAGAACGAGGGAAAAAUAGACCUUACUAGGGGUUUUUUGGCAUGAGAUGGAGUCUAAAAAGGAAGAGGUGAGUAUUUAUAAAAGUACCAUGGGUAAAUUGAAGGAAGCCAACCGUCGCAGUCAAUGCGGAAACUUGCAGGGACAGCGCACAUGGUGCACCUUGGCAUCUCGUAGUAGUUUGCAAGAACAUCGAAGGAAGCAGGAGUUCAGGACCGUUUCUUAUCAUUUCUUGCCACUUUCACUCUAAGAAACGUGGAGACUAUCUGUAUACGGGGAAUCUCGCGAUCAUGCUCCUCGAAGCUCGAAGCCAAGGUCGAGACUCACCCUCGGGGGUCGUCAGGUGUCGGUCUAGAGGACAUCGCAUUCCAACAGCUGCAGUAAGCGAGAGGGGAGUUCCCAAGGCACACGACUUAAUUUGACAAGGCUGACCUACCAGGGGCCUAUGUCACGUCCGCUAUCUUAUUUCCACGCCUUUGCAGUUAACACGUUUUGUACUAUAACGGAUUUCCCUCCUAUAUAAAGGGGAUCCCCAUCACUUUGUAACCUUCGAGUGAUGCUCCAACUAUUUCUCCACAAGAUCAAUAAUAUCUCUCUCUCUCUUUCUUCUCUCUAACUUGCCCGUUCUUACUAGCUCGAGGCCACCCUUAGCGUUUAUUGCUUUCAUACUUGUUCUUAAUUUAUUACUUGGUAUAGGCCAUAAAGAGUCUUGUUUAAUCAUACCUUAACUGUUAUCCCAUUUCCUACUACCCCCGAUAGCUUCAGCUCGAGCCGGAUAUCGACCUCGAGGUUCUUCAUCGACCAUUCUGAGUCUCGAGCUGCCAGUCCCUCGGUUUGAUUACUGCCCCGUUUUAGCUUGUAUCUCUUCGUUAAACUUCAUAUUCUUAUAAUCAACUGCUCUAACAACUAGCAUAACAAUAGAUCAUGUAUUUUUAGAAUCCCAUUUACAAAUUUAAUUGUUGUUACCAUUUUCAUGGUAAACAGGUUGUGACAAGGCAUCAACAGCGAGUUUCGGGAUCAUUUGGCACAAGAAACGAGGAAGAAGAGUUGGAGGUUUUUGGCUAUUAAUGUUGUUGGAGUUUUUCUCAUCUUGAAAGUUUGGAAUUGGGAGAAAUCAAGAAUGUUCUUCAAGUUUAUUCCAUGGGCUAAGUGUUUUCUACUCAGUUUUUAUUAUAUUACGUGGUUCCAUCUACGUUUUUAGCAUUUGAUUGAUGAUUUCAAAAGAGAAAUUUGGGGUUUUUGUGUAAACUUUCCUAAAGUAAAUUUUUGAGUCUCGAACACCAAUUCAGACUCGGAAUUGAGUAAAAUUAUUAUAGUUCGACUCAUAAUUGAAUGGGCUUUUGAUUUUAUAAGUUUUGUC